AUGCUGAAUCCCAGGGAUGUGCCCCUCUCCCAUACCCGCAUGCCCCACACAGCUCCCUGUGGGUGCUGGGGGGCUGCAGAGCUGAGCCCGAAGGUGGCUCGGGAGAGGAACUGCCAGUUUUGUGUCCGUGGGCUGAGCUGGCGCUCAGUGCUGGGCUCGGGGGGCCGGGGGGUCGGGCACAGCUCCGUGACCUUGGGGGCUUUGCCAGCCCCGGGGGUCCCAGGGCUCCCUAAAGGGGGGUCCUGCCCAGCUCUGCAGCCUGGGGGGGACUGGGGCUCCUGGGGUCCUGGCAGCUGCAUGGGAUGGAUGUGUGCACGGGGUGAUCCCAUGGGAUAACCUUGGGUCCUGGCAGCUGUAUCUGUGGGGUGAUCCCACGGGAUCCCCUCCCUGUAAAUAACACACAGGAUGGAGUUGUCAGAGUUCUGAGGAACAAGAAUUGCAGCAGACCCCCUGUCAGGAUGCAGGAGAUGCCAAAAUGCCUUCCCACUUUCCUUCUCCUCCCAGCUCUGUUUUUAGCCCUGCUGGCUGGAGCUGUUUCCUCUGGGACGCGUCCUGCUCUUGCCAGCAGGAUGGGCUCUGCUCCUGCUCCUCCCUGCCCUGUGCUGCCCUGGCUCCCUGCAGUGGCCCAGGCCAGGCUGCCUUGGAGCACCCUGGCAUGGUGGGAGCCAUGGCACAGAGUUGGAAUUCAAUGGUUUUGAGGUCCCUUCCAACCCAAACCAGUCUGGCAUUCCAUGGUUCUCCUGGGACAUUUCUGUGGUGGGUGAAGGAAUGCUGAGCUGCCUUAAAGUCUUUUCCUGCCUGCUCCUCUUAACUCCAUCAUUCCUCGACUUUGAUACAACUUCUGAAAACUGCUUUUAGUUUUCCUUGGGAGCCUGUUAACUAUUAGGUGAUUCAAAGAGAAGCCACCGUUCCCACCUGUUAUUUGUGUCUGGUUUAGCCCAGCUGUGCAUUCCUCAGGCCUUUGUACCUGGGGUAUGGAACUGUGAACAGGCUCUUGGACAGAAAAUGUUACUUUUUGGCUCUUCUUCUUGAGUAAGACUGCUGAGUUCUUCAUUAUUGUUUUUUAAUUAAUACAUUUUAAAUUAAUUUAAGAACUAAUACUUUCUUGAUGCUAUUGCCACUUUUUAAAUUACAGCUUGUGUUGCUACUCUCUCGUUGCACAGUCUGAGUUAUUCUGAAGAUGUUUUUAUUAUUAUAUGGGGAUGAAAUACAUGUAAAGCUGCAGAAUAGUCAAUAUUGACAAUAAAUACAUUUAAUUCUUGUCAUUACUUUUCAGUUCUGAUGGUUUUUACCUUCAUUCUUCAGAACUGGAAGGUUUUUUUUUCUGUUUCAAGUAUAUAUUUGUGUCUAUAUAUAUAUCUAGGCAAUUUGUGGGGUCAUGUAAAGAGGUCAUGCAAAAAGGCCAUGCAAAUUUCCUUGGGAACAAUGAAAAUGGUCUAAAUUUUUGUACAGAAAUAAAGAUUUAGUGUAAAUGUGGAGGAGUUCUGAGGGAGGCCCUUGUGCUGUGGGAUCCUCACAGAUUUUGUGUCAUUUCCUGAGUUCAUGGGUGGAAAUCAGAGCUGUGUAAGCAACAAAUAAACCAAACUGUCUGUGUGGAGCUGGCCAGGGAAUUUCUUGGGGAUCCAUCGUGCCUGGGAUGCCAAAGGUGCUGCAGGUUUGGGUGAUGAAUGGAGGAAAAUCCUGAAAUUCCUGAACUUUGCUUGAGAAAUCCCAAUGUCUG
Molecule: long non-coding RNA, 1720 nt
Organism: Ficedula albicollis (Collared flycatcher)
Lineage: Eukaryota; Metazoa; Chordata; Aves; Passeriformes; Muscicapidae
Source: Ensembl